Halanaerobium kushneri is the source of this 267-nucleotide non-coding RNA. The record is from Rfam. NCBI's taxonomy places the organism in Bacteria, Bacillati, Bacillota, Clostridia, Halanaerobiales, Halanaerobiaceae.
CCGCACUAAAUGGGGUGGUAGCGGUGCCCUGUAACCUGCAAACCGCUAGAGCAGGAUUGACGCCGUGGCUGAGGAUUUUUUCUUUCAGGGUCUGGCCCUGAUAAGUAGUGUUGACAAUUGGGUCUCGCGCAAUGAAGUCUUGUGAACCCCGUCAGGUCCGGGAGGAAGCAGCGGUAAGCAAGUCGCUUCAUGUGCCGCGAGGGUGCCUGGUUCGAGCCAACUGUCAGGGUAACGCCUGGGAGAAAAUCUUCGAAGCUCGGUGUGCGG